Dipodomys ordii (Ord's kangaroo rat) is the source of this 73-nucleotide non-coding RNA. The record is from Rfam. Lineage: Eukaryota; Metazoa; Chordata; Mammalia; Rodentia; Heteromyidae.
UGGGAAGUGGCUCCGUGGUAGAGCACUUGCCUUGCAUGCAUGAGGCCCUGGGUUCGAUUCCUCAGCACCACAG